UAGCUGGUUCUCCCCGAAAGCUAUUUAGGUAGCGCCUCGUGAAUUCAUCUCCGGGGGUAGAGCACUGUUUCGGCUAGGGGGCCAUCCCGGCUUACCAACCCGAUGCAAACUGCGAAUACCGGAGAAUGUUAUCACGGGAGACACACGGCGGGUGCUAACGUCCGUCGUGAAGAGGGAAACAACCCAGACCGCCAGCUAAGGUCCCAAAGUCAUGGUUAAGUGGGAAACGAUGUGGGAAGGCCCAGACAGCCAGGAUGUUGGCUUAGAAGCAGCCAUCAUUUAAAGAAAGCGUAAUAGCUCACUGGUCGAGUCGGCCUGCGCGGAAGAUGUAACGGGGCUAAACCAU
RNAcentral lists this ribosomal RNA (346 nucleotides) under Salmonella enterica. Its description in RNAcentral is "partial 23S ribosomal RNA". It matches the Rfam family "Bacterial large subunit ribosomal RNA", at positions 846 to 1190 of the family's 2925-position model. Lineage: Bacteria; Pseudomonadati; Pseudomonadota; Gammaproteobacteria; Enterobacterales; Enterobacteriaceae. The record is from RNAcentral.